GCGGCGUUGGUCCAGUCUGGUUAAGACACUGGCCCCCCAAGCCAGUGACCCGGGUUCAAAUCCCGGGCGCCGCA
Molecule: transfer RNA, 74 nt
Filed under: Methanothermobacter sp.
Lineage: Archaea; Methanobacteriati; Methanobacteriota; Methanobacteria; Methanobacteriales; Methanobacteriaceae
Also listed under: 1 other name
Description: tRNA-Gly
Rfam family: tRNA
About the family: Transfer RNA (tRNA) molecules are approximately 80 nucleotides in length.
Source: RNAcentral